AUCGAACCUGUAUAUUGCUCAUAUUCAAGUCCUUUUGUGAAAGAUAGGCGAUGAAUGAGACCGAGUUGAGUGAGACAGAGUUCAGUGAAAGAGAGUUGAGGCGGAGGUGAGUGAAAAGGUGAAGCUGAAAUAAUUUAUAAUGCGGUGAGCUUAUGCAUUAGAAUCUUAUAUGAAAAGAUUUUUUUUUUUUCAACAACUUUUUAUAAAAAACUAGAAUCUUAUAUGAAAAGAUAAUUAAAAGGAAUUUUAUGAAAAGAUAAAUAGAAGGAAUUUAUGCAGUUCAUUCGACUCCUUGGAAUCUCGUAAGAGGAAAAUCAAUAGAGUUCCUUUACCGUUUACGACACCUGCGCACAGUGCAUAUUCAUCUCUCGAGGAUGGAUUUGAUUCUGAUAGUGAUAACGAAGACUCAUCUCUGAUGGCUUGUUAGAAACCUAGUUUGUUAUCUGUAACUGGAUCAGCAGGUUUGCCGAGUAAUGAAGAAUAAAAGGAAUUAUAUGUAAAAAAAAUGAAAAGGAACAAAUAUUAUAAUAAUGAAAAAGAAGAAAACUUGCAUAGUUUUUUUUCAUUUCUUGUCAAACAUUUGAUUGUUUUAAGCCAUUUUAUCUAGUUUUUCAAAGUAAAAUAAAAUUGAAUGAAAUAAUCAUGCCCAGUCUCUUAUGUUUUUUCGUCAAAAAGUUUACAGUUUGUAGUUAAGUUUUCCAAUUAUUUCUGCACAUAAGAAAAUGAGAGGUCGAUAAAAGGUCAGUUUAAUAUUUAAAUUUUCUAUUUUGGUAACAAACUUUAUUGUGUGUAGUUUCUGUACUAGUGGAGGGCCCAAUUCCAUUAUUAUUUCUAAAACUAUCUAGUCACUCCACAACACAUUUAAUUUUCUCACAAACUAUUUCUGGCUAGAAACAACUUACAUAACAUCGUUACAAAGAGAAAACGAAUAUUCUUAUAAUAAUAUGACAAAAGCAACAAGCUUGGUCAAUAGAAUUGCGUUUUUUUCUUCUUCAUCCCUUUCCGCAGUAAAUUGGUUUUACCCCUAUCGCUAACAGCAACGACAAGUGGUUAUAACUAUAUACAGAACCACUGUAAAGCAACUUGAGCAUAUAUACGUAGAGGUAGAAGUAGAACCCCAUACAUUAAGAUUUCUUUCUUUGAUUGCCAAAUAAUGGAGAAUCCACUAAGCAAACAAAAUAAACAUAUCCUUACACGCGAUUUUUUUCCAUUUUGUUUGUGGUCACAUGACUUUUGUUUCACGUUCUGAAAUACAUAUUUUUAAACCGUUGAAAACAAAAAUCGGCUUAGUGAAUCCCUAUAUCUUAAAAACUAAUACGUUUCAAUAGGAAUAAUCAAAAUUUGAAAAAGUAUAUAUAUAGUGAAAGUUAUUAUAUUGAGGACAAGAUAAUCUAACAAAGUUUAAAAAAGAAGAAGAUAGUCUGACAAUGAAAAAUCAUGGAUAAAAGAUAUGUACUAAUCACAUUUUAGCGCAAAGCAGGCUCUCUUUUUUUUUCUGUUACUGCGCAAAGAAGACUCUUCAAUAAAGAAGACACGAAAGAUAAGGUUUUCACAUAACCCAUAUUGAUAUUGUGCGGGCUAUCUGAGUACAAUUAGACAUCUUGACCCAUUUGAAAUUUGAAUAAUAGUCCGUCCUUAUGAUGCAACAAACCGGAUAUUAUUAGAAAUUCUAAAUCAAAAGUUAACAUCAGUAAAUCCAAAACACACAAAGAACUCGUUGCAUAUGCUAAUUAAUCGACUUAUAGAGACUAUUAAUUUAAUUAUAAAUUCUGGCUGUUUCGAAACUGACUAAACCUUAUUGACUAAGACGAUGAUGAUAAUUGUCUAAUAAAAGGGAAGAUUUUGUACUUUCUCUCAUCAUAAAAAAAGUACCUCUAAAACAAAAAUAUUGGUACCUUUUUAGUGAUAGUUCUUUUUAAUCAGUUACGAACUUAUGAUUUAAGAAAAGGACGUCUAAAAGAAAACAAACAAACCAAACAAACCAACACCAUCGAUAAAGGAAAUGAAAGAUGCAUUCCAAAUCAUAAAUUCACUGAUUAAAAUAAUUUUAAAACAUUUUUGAAAAUUUUUUAUUAAAGCUUUUAUUGAUAUAUAUUCAUAUGUAAUAAAGUUCAUAGAAUUUUUAAUAAUAGACUAGUAUAUUUAUAGGUUUUCUCAGUGAUACUUUCAAAAUUCUUAUGACCAAAUAUAUUGAUUAAAUGUACAUUUAUACACUCAUUAUCUUUAUCAGAAAUUUUGUUUUCCAAGCAAUUGAUUUUUUACUAAAAUAUUUAAUUUCUUUGAUUGAUACCAAAAAGUUUAAAAAAUUAUUGAAAUGUUUAUUUUUAUCAAAUUAUAAUGUUGAAGCCUAAAACUGAUAAUUGGGUUUAGAGACUAAUCGAGCAAUAAUCAGAGACAUUAGGGCCAAUGAUUCUAUUUAAUAAUUUAUAAGAUUAAGAAUAGUAAUUACCUUUCAUCCAUAAGCUUAGAGGGACACCAAACAUUUCCUCAUAAAGAUCAUCCAUAGACUCAAUUAAAGUUCUAAAUUUAGUAACCCAUUCAAACAAGUCUACAAAAUCAAUGAUUAUGCAUAUAAAGUUAAGUUAAUAUUACAUAACAUAUUAAUUCCUUAUAAAAACCAGAAGAAUAACCAGAUGUGACUUCAUACCGAUUAGAUAAGUGUUGUCGGAAUUCAUUUGGAGAACUUGCAGGAAUGGAACAGGUACAAACAUUGGGUUUUAGUAAGUGAAAAUCAAUAAAAUACAUGUGUACGUUCGACAAAUGUGAUGUGAAAUUCACGUGGUGUAUUCCUUAUCAAACCAAUGCAUGGUGUCACUUGGAAUCAUCUGAAUACUCCAUAUGUCGUCAUCAAAAUAGCCAAAAUAGUGCUUACCAAUCAAAUAAUUAGGGAUUGUAAUUUAGAUUCUGCAACCCUAAUAUUACAUGAUUAUAAAAUGAAAUUACUUACACAAUAACUCAUCAAAAAUGAAAUGCUGAGCAUAAAUUAUAACUUACAUUUGGGUGAGCCACAAUCAGAUGCCGCUCUUUCGGAUUAGAAGGAUUUAUAGUUUCUCAUACUCGUAGUAUUUUUUCCCAGGCUUUGACAUUGUUCGAUGAUUCAGUGAGAUUUGAAAUUAGGGUAUUGUUGUGUGCCAUUAAAUUCUUUUUUGGAAUUUGCAAAAGCCUCUAUAGUUUCUUUAUGAGUGAGAAAAAAUAAAUGUUUUGAAAAAUUAGCAGACGCAUUUGAUAUGAUCUUUUUGAACGGUUUAUACAUUUUAAGUGGAAUAUUAAAACGAUGACAAAAAUUUUUAAUGUGAGCGAAUACCAAUGUUUACAUCAUUACGGAGAUAACGACUUAAAAGUGAAUUUCACUUAUUUUAAGAUAUGAUUUUUAAAAGGCUCAUUUGUUGAAAUGAAAUUGCCAUUUCACCCUUUACCAGCAAGAAUGCCAUACUGGUUUCAAGAAAUUCAACAAGAAUUAAAACAACACUUUACCAGCAUUGGCUCUCUCCCAUAUCAGAUUCUAUUAGUUGUUCAUGCCCCUAAGCCUCAUCAAUAAUUUGUCUUUUCUUUGCUGUCCGAUCUUCGUUUAUAUUUGAUAAUUUAAGUUAAUUUAUAAGUGGAAGGUUAACAGGUUACAUGCAAUUUGAAAACCAAUUCUUUUUUUCUUACGGUUGCCAAUGUUGUUCUCUUGAAUAUACGAUUCACUAUACCUUGUUACCUUGCGAAAGUAUUAGUUUUGCAAUGUGUCUUGAGAUCUGCCGAUGCAAGUUCUUUAUUAUUCAGAUAAUGUAGCACUUAAUUAUUGUUUUUGGACAAUGGCAGAUGAAUAAUGUUGGUUGGGAGUUCCUUCUUGAUCCAAGUAAGAAGGGGAAUGCUUUUUUUUGUUGAAGACGAUAUCAAAUAUGAGGAUUUUCUCCGCAUGGUUUGUGAAGAUUACAAUAUGAUUAGUGAGACGAAAGCGGUCGAGCUUGCUUAUAUGUUACCUAAAUGCAUAUUGGAGCAAAUGGCUAGCAAAACUCAUUCGAUGUUCUUGAGUAACGACAGAAAUCUUGAAAACUUUAUCACAUUGUCCAAGACACACGUUUUGUGUGUUUAUGUCUCAUUUCUUGCAAACAAAGGUCGUCAAGAUUUGAACAGAAAUCAAAAGCGUGUUGUUAGACAGAAUGCUUUUGCAGAUUUUGGUAGUUUUGGAAAUGUUCAGUACAAGACUCUGAAGCCAUCACUUGAGACUAUGAAACCAUCACAGCUGCAGAAGACUGAAACCAUUAAGUAUGGUGACAUAUUCAGUGGCAAGAAUGGACUAAUAAUGAAAUUACGCAAGCUUUAAGUGCUCGAAAGGUUUGAUUUCAGCAUUAAAAAGUCUUUGAAUCAUUUAUUUUACGGAGAGUGCUUCGUUCCUGGAUGUUCCUGGAAGAUACGUGCUUCAACUAUGUCGAGAUCAUCUCUAUAAUUACUUUUUCAUAAAUAUACUGAUCUUCAUACAUGCUCUGCGGCCAAUAGGUAUUCUCGUCACCGACAUGCAAAUGCAACAUGUAUUGGCAAGAUGUAUGUUGAGGGAUUUAGUGGUGGUAGUGAUCUUAAAGGAAUCCGUCCUAAAUAUAUAAUGCAGUUUAUCGAAUUGACAUCGGUUAUUCGAAGGCUCAUAGCGCAUUGGCAUAUGCACGAGAGAUGGUUAGGGCACUCAUGCCAGUGGCUAUCAAGACGUGCCUUCAUAUCUAUACAAAAUAGAGAAGGACAAUCCAGGUACAAUAACAAAGCUUGAACUUGAUGCUAAGAAAUGGUUUAAGUAUUUGUUCAUUGCUUUUGGCACAUGCACAUGUAUCAAAGGCCUUUUGUUCAUGAGAAGGGCUAUUGUUGUAGAUGGAGCACAUCUAAGUGGUAAGUUCAAAGGUGUUAUGUUAGUGGCUGCAUGUCAGGAUGGAAAUAGGGAUACAUCACUACAAGAAAACAGUCAAAUAGCCAUGGAAUUUUUCAUUGCUAGAGAGGACAAUUUGUUGCUAAAAUGCAGCAGGCGAUAAACGGCUACGGAUAGAAGCUUAUCUGUGGCAUCAGCACCGACGCUAUCUCCCAUCCGUUGCUAUUCCGUAGCUCGUUCGCAACAGUUUUGCGAGCGAAUCAACCGUAGCUAUUAGCGACGACGUAGCUACUGAGUUUUUUAUUGCGCAUUGGCAACACUUUUAGCGUAGCGAAAUAGCCACAGAAAUUAACUACAAUUUUGCCUUAGCCAAGUUGUAGCAAAAGUAGCCACAAAUUUAGUUACGAAUGUUUUGUACCUAAAUAUUGGAUUCGGAUUAGCAACAAAAAGUUGCUUUGAUUUUAAAACAUUAUAGCAUAAAACGAAAUCUGAAAUUCCCAAAACAUAAUAGAAACAUUGCAUUCAUUACUAGUAGAAAACAAAAUAUUAAACCAAAUAGGUCGAAACUAAUGACAUAACAAUAGUUCAAACUAAACACAAAAGAUUCUAAGUGUUAUGUCUUCAGUUGAUUGUAGUAAGUCAUCAACAUCAUCUAGAUUCUCUGCUCAUUGGUGCUAGGAGGUGAGGAUGGAGAAGAGUUGGUAGUUCCUCUAGCUUCACACAAGGCAGUGAGCUGCUAGCUCAUCAAGUAGACAGUUUCAGUCAAAGUAAUCAACUUCUCUAAACGAGAUUGACGAGUAAGAAGGACGGGCUGGUGGAUCAAUGUGAUAAUUGUUCUCCAUUUGUGUUGUUCCAAGUCCAAACAAACAUCGUUUGUGAGGGUUGACUACCUAAUAAACCAGAAAACAAGAAACAAAAUUACAGAAAAAGAGCCACAAGGGAAAUACAGAAUCUUAAAAAUAAUAAUACUCAACUUUAUUCUCAUCGCCAUCAGUGUUGGAGAAGUGUUGUAAAACAACAAUAGACUCAACGUCUCCAACAAUCUUCAUGUGGAUCUACCCCUCUAAGUCAGUAUAGCUGGCUCCUCCCCCAUCUACAUGAUCUAUAAACACAAGGCAAAUGGUAUAAAAGAGUCGCAAGGACAUACAUAAUCUUAACAAUACACAAUAAGACAAUAAGGACAAGAUUCUUGUACGAUAUCUUAUUUGACCUUGGCAUAAGAUUUGGAAACAGAAAUGUGUUGAUGUAUACCUGCCUGAGAGGUGUUCUUCAUAAAAUUUAUUGCGCCUUGUUCAAUAGUAGCUCUUGUAGGGAAACUGCCUCUUCUUGGUGGAUGCAUACUAGAGCCCUAAAUCAAUGAAUCACAUAGUUUAAUAAGAGACUUAAAGAAGAUAUGAAAACGCAGAGACUUAUUAACCCCAGUUCGAUUUUGAAAUACAAACCAUAAACUGACUGAAGACACAGAAAUUGAUAGAAGAAAUGAACCCAGAUCGACUUGAAAAUAUGAACCCUAAUUUGAUUGGAAACGCAGAGAUUAUAAGAAAUAAACCCUAAAUCGAUUUGAAAACAGAAACCCUAACCAACACCCAUAAACCCAAAUCGAUUUGAAGAACAAUAUAUUGCAACAGAGUUUUGGAAAAGAGAAGUACUAUUGAGACAAGCUGUGAUAAUUUGUCGUGAAUGAGAGUUGAGAUUGGGUUGGUCUUUGUCGGCGAUAAGAGUGUUUCCACGGAGAAGAAGAGUUAAAAAGAAAGUGUAGAAAUAUUUUGGCAGAGAGAUUUGGGAAAUUAUUUUAUGGUAGUAAUUGAAUAUUUUGGUGAAAAUUUUAGGCGCCAUUACGAAAAUUUGUGCGUUUGAAUUUAUGAAUGUGUGUCUUUCAAUACAAAUCAAACAGGUUGUGGUAUACGUCAAACUACUAAUAACAUAUUGUAUUAGCUACAAAAAAAAACUAACCAUUAACCAAUAGCAUCUAUAAAACCGCUGUAAUAUAGAAAAGUAAAACAUCCAAUAGUGCAAUAUGAAAAAAACAAUUAUAGCCUUCAAGAUAUGCUAUUGAAAUAACAAAUGUAGCCGUCGGAAACAACGCUAUUAUAAUGUUAACAAUAUAACAGAAAACACAAAAACACUGCUAUCAUAUGUUUUCGCUACGAUAGCAUGUGAGAAACCGCUAUAAUAAGGGAGAACUAUUAUAGCAGACAUAGCAGUUCAUAAUACGCUAUCCCAGGCAUAUGAUAGUGGUUUCCUCGCGCUAAUAUGGAGGUUUUUUUGUAGUGUUUGCCCGUCUUUAUAAAAUAUUUAGGCUGUUACAUCGUUGACAUUUAUAUGUAUGGCUUCACGUUAUAAAAUGGGCUCAAUCAUAGUAAAAAACUUUGUUCAAAAACUCGGCCGAGUAGCCGGUUUUGCAGCCGGGUAAUCGCAACUCGGAGUCCAACCGUGGUGAUUUUAACCAAUCGGUUUGGUAAAUCGCUAAAAAAACAAACCGGCCGCUUAAUAAAACAAUGCGCUAUUAAAUCGAAUUAACUGACGAUUAAUAACAAAAUUUUCUAGGUUAAGCCCAAUAAAAAUGGGCUUUGCCUUUUUUAAAGCCUGAUUGAGUUUCCUAAAGUCUAUAAUACGUGCUCUAUUUAUACUAGUCAUUCCUUCUGCACCAGUUUACAAACGUCCGAUGUGGGAUGUUGAGAUUCACAACUCUCUACAAUAAAAGUCAAUAUUUAAAUAACAAACAAAAAUCGAAUCUACAACAUAGACAUAAGUAACUUACUGAAAACUUUAACACCGGACCACAUUAAUUUAUUUGUAAUAUUCCACAAAACCUUAUUAUAAAUAUACUAUAUUUAAACUGCAAUAGACAUAAUUAUAUUUUGUGAUCUAAUUUGAUAUGUAUUUACAAAUUUCUAUUUUAGUACCAAUGAUAUUUUAUACAUAAACUUGUAUUUAUUAUAUAUAAAUAUUUGGUAUUAUACAUAUAAAUAAGGUAUUAUAUAUAUAAAAGUACAAAAAAAUUCUUUCCCGAUUACUCCCCGAGUUUUUUCCUCUUUUCUAAUAAAUCGCUAGGCCGGUAUGUGCCGCACGCGUAGCACCUAGCGAGAGUUUUCGAACAAGGGUAAAAAAUAAGCCCGUAACAUAAAUUAAUUAACAGGUAGUAAAUUAAAAUAGUUAGCUUGCUGCAUCGUUGACUCGCUUAUGUAUGGCUUUGCAUUAUAAAAUGGACCCAAUCAUAGUAAACAAUUACCCUUUAGCCUAAAUUAAUUUACCAGUAAUCAUAUACAUAACUAUAUCGUAAAUUAUUUACCCAUCAUUUUAAAUAGUUAGCUUGCUUCAGUGUUCACAUUUAUAUAUGUAUGGCACCUAAGGCAAUUGGUACCUUAACCCGCGGGCUUGGCCCGUAAAGUCCCACUGCGGGGCGGGUUUGGGCUUACAUAUCUUAGGCCCGAGAUAUUGCGGGUCUUGCGGGUUGGUCAAUUUCGGGUAUGGGCCAAUGCGGGGCGGGUCGACGCGGGUUUGCGGGGCAUUCGAGACCCGCAUGUCUUUAUCAGUUUUGUUUUUUUCUUAUGUAUGAACUGUUUUGUUUGAAAUUUUGAUUGUUUUAAAGUUUUACUGUUAAUUGUCAUUUGUCUUAUAAGUUGCUUGAUAAUGAUA
Brassica rapa (field mustard) is the source of this 8476-nucleotide long non-coding RNA. RefSeq lists it as uncharacterized. Lineage: Eukaryota; Viridiplantae; Streptophyta; Magnoliopsida; Brassicales; Brassicaceae. The record is from RefSeq and is a predicted model, not a curated record.